GGGCUGCAGUGAGGAAUUUUGCGCAAUGGGGGAAACCCUGACGCAGCAACGCCGCGUGAGUGAAGAAGGUUUUCGGAUCGUAAAGCUCUGUCAAGUGGGAAAAAAUCCCUUUUGUAAAUAGCGGAAGGGUUUGAUGGUACCACUAGAGGAAGCACCGGCUAACUCCGUGCCAGCAGCCGCGGUAAUACGGAGGGUGCAAGCGUUGUUCGGAAUUAUUGGGCGUAAAGGGCGUGUAGGCGGCUUGGUAAGUCAGAUGUGAAAGCCCUGGGCUCAACCCAGGAAGUGCAUUUGAUACUGCCAUGCUUGAGUAUGGGAGAGGAGAGUGGAAUUCCCAGUGUAGAGGUGAAAUUCGUAGAUAUUGGGAGGAACACCCGUGGCGAAGGCGACUCUCUGGACCAAUACUGACGCUGAGACGCGAAAGCGUGGGGAGCAAACAGGAUUAGAUACCCCUGUAGUC
This 457-nucleotide ribosomal RNA is filed under the name uncultured Desulfatiglans sp. RNAcentral describes it as "bacterial SSU rRNA". It matches the Rfam family "Bacterial small subunit ribosomal RNA", at positions 346 to 795 of the family's 1533-position model. Lineage: Bacteria; Pseudomonadati; Thermodesulfobacteriota; Desulfobacteria; Desulfatiglandales; Desulfatiglandaceae. The record is from RNAcentral.